This 847-nucleotide ribosomal RNA is filed under the name uncultured bacterium. Its description in RNAcentral is "bacterial SSU rRNA". It matches the Rfam family "Bacterial small subunit ribosomal RNA", at positions 71 to 951 of the family's 1533-position model. The record is from RNAcentral.
UCUUCUAGCUUGCUAGAAGUGGAUUAGUGGCGCACGGGUGAGUAAUGCAUAGGUUAUGUGCCCUUUAGUCUGGGAUAGCCACUGGAAACGGUGAUUAAUACUGGAUACUCCCUACGGGGGAAAGUUUUUCGCUAAAGGAUCAGCCUAUGUCCUAUCAGCUUGUUGGUGAGGUAAUGGCUCACCAAGGCUAUGACGGGUAUCCGGCCUGAGAGGGUGAUCGGACACACUGGAACUGAGACACGGUCCAGACUCCUACGGGAGGCAGCAGUAGGGAAUAUUGCUCACUGGGGGAAACCCUGAAGCAGCAACGCCGCGUGGAGGAUGAAGGUUUUAGGAUUGUAAACUCCAUUUGUUAGAGAAGAUUAUGACGGUAUCUAACGAAUAAGCACCGGCUAACUCCGUGCCAGCAGCCGCGGUAAUACGGAGGGUGCAAGCGUUACUCGGAAUCACUGGGCGUAAAGAGUGCGUAGGCGGGGUAAUAAGUCAGAUGUGAAAUCCUGUAGCUUAACUACAGAACUGCAUUUGAAACUGUUACUCUGGAGUGUGGGAGAGGUAGGUGGAAUUCUUGGUGUAGGGGUAAAAUCCGUAGAGAUCAAGAGGAAUACUCAUUGCGAAGGCGACCUGCUGGAACAUUACUGACGCUGAUGCACGAAAGCGUGGGGAGCAAACAGGAUUAGAUACCCUGGUAGUCCACGCCCUAAACGAUGGAUGCUAGUUGUUGCCUUGCUUGUCAGGGCAGUAAUGCAGCUAACGCAUUAAGCAUCCCGCCUGGGGAGUACGGUCGCAAGAUUAAAACUCAAAGGAAUAGACGGGGACCCGCACAAGCGGUGGAGCAUGUGGUUUAAUU